RNAcentral lists this ribosomal RNA (407 nucleotides) under uncultured bacterium. RNAcentral's name for it is "partial 16S ribosomal RNA". It matches the Rfam family "Bacterial small subunit ribosomal RNA", at positions 29 to 526 of the family's 1533-position model. The record is from RNAcentral.
AACGAACGCUGGCGGCGUGCCUAAUACAUGCAAGUAGGACGCAGUUGCGAACGGGGGAGUAACGCGUAGGUAACUGCCUAUUAGAGGGGGAUAACUAUUGGAAACGAUAGCUAAUACCGCAUACUAGUAGAUGGACAUGCGUUGUAUUAGCUAGUAGGUAGGGUAAUGGCAGACCUAGGCGACGAUACAUAGCCGGCCUGUGAUGGUGUUCGGGCACACUGGGAUAUAGACACGGCCCAGACUCCCCCGUGAGGCCGCACGGUGGAAUUUUUGGAAAUGGGGGGAACGCUUACCUGUCAACGCCUCGUUAAUGAAGAAGGUCUUCGGAUCGUAAAGCUCUGUUGUUAAGCAAGCGGUACUUAACCAGAAAGGGACGGCUAACUACGUGCCAGCCGCCGCGGUAAUAC